Molecule: ribosomal RNA, 650 nt
Filed under: Micrococcus luteus
Lineage: Bacteria; Bacillati; Actinomycetota; Actinomycetes; Micrococcales; Micrococcaceae
Description: bacterial SSU rRNA
Rfam family: Bacterial small subunit ribosomal RNA
Source: RNAcentral
UCCUUAGAAAUGUAUGUUUGUACGUAGGCUUUAAUUUAGCAUCGAGAGGGGUACGAACGCACGUCUAAAUAAUCCAGGUAAUUGACGGAUGUAACGCUCAAUCGGCGUAGCAUGUGGCUGUAAUGGGAUACAACGCUAAGAGCCUUACCAAGACUUGACAUGUUAUCGAUCGCCGUAGAGAUACGGUUUCCCCUUUGGGGCGGGUUCACAGGUGGUGCAUGGUUGUCGUCAGCUCGUGUCGUGAGAUGUUGGGUUAAGUCCCGCAACGAGCGCAACCCUCGUUCCAUGUUGCCAGCACGUAAUGGUGGGGACUCAUGGGAGACUGCCGGGGUCAACUCGGAGGAAGGUGAGGACGACGUCAAAUCAUCAUGCCCCUUAUGUCUUGGGCUUCACGCAUGCUACAAUGGCCGGUACAAUGGGUUGCGAUACUGUGAGGUGGAGCUAAUCCCAAAAAGCCGGUCUCAGUUCGGAUUGGGGUCUGCAACUCGACCCCAUGAAGUCGGAGUCGCUAGUAAUCGCAGAUCAGCAACGCUGCGGUGAAUACGUUCCCGGGCCUUGUACACACCGCCCGUCAAGUCACGAAAGUUGGUAACACCCGAAGCCGGUGGCCUAACCCUUGUGGGGGAGCCGUCGAAGGUGACCACAUCUAA